This 103-nucleotide small nucleolar RNA is filed under the name Ursus americanus (American black bear). RNAcentral describes it as "Small nucleolar RNA U13". It matches the Rfam family "Small nucleolar RNA U13". The record is from Rfam by way of RNAcentral. Lineage: Eukaryota; Metazoa; Chordata; Mammalia; Carnivora; Ursidae. RNAcentral also lists the same sequence under 2 other names.
AUCCUCUUGUCAUUCACAGGUGUGAAGAUUAGGUGUUCAUGCUGUUGUGUGGUAUGUUCUCACUCAAACCUUGUCAUGAACUCAGCACAUCCCUCAUCUGAUU